GGGCCCGCACAAGCGGUGGAGCAUGUGGUUCAAUUCGAAGCAACGCGCAGAACCUUACCAGCCCUUGACAUGCCACGACGGUUUCCAGAGAUGGAUUCCUCCCCGCAAGGGGCGUGGACACAGGUGCUGCAUGGCUGUCGUCAGCUCGUGUCGUGAGAUGUUGGGUUAAGUCCCGCAACGAGCGCAACCCUCGCCCUUAGUUGCCAUCAUUUAGUUGGGCACUCUAAGGGGACUGCCGGUGAUAAGCCGCGAGGAAGGUGGGGAUGACGUCAAGUCCUCAUGGCCCUUACGGGCUGGGCUACACACGUGCUACAAUGGCGGUGACAGUGGGAUGCAAUGGAGCAAUCCUGCGCAAAUCUCAAAAAGCCGUCUCAGUUCGGAUUGUGCUCUGCAACUCGAGCACAUGAAGGUGGAAUCGCUAGUAAUCGCAGAUCAGCACGCUGCGGUGAAUACGUUCCCGGGCCUU
This 466-nucleotide ribosomal RNA is filed under the name uncultured bacterium. RNAcentral's name for it is "bacterial SSU rRNA". It matches the Rfam family "Bacterial small subunit ribosomal RNA", at positions 917 to 1382 of the family's 1533-position model. The record is from RNAcentral.